This is a ribosomal RNA of Gossypium arboreum, 119 nucleotides long. NCBI's taxonomy places the organism in Eukaryota, Viridiplantae, Streptophyta, Magnoliopsida, Malvales, Malvaceae. The record is from Rfam.
GGGUGCGAUGCUACUAGAACUAAUGCACCAGAUCCCAUUCGAACUCCGAAGGUAAGCGUGCUUGGCUGAGAGUAGUAUUUGUAUGGGUGACCUCCUAGGAAGUCCUCGUGUUGCACCCC